This 492-nucleotide ribosomal RNA is filed under the name uncultured bacterium. Its description in RNAcentral is "partial 16S ribosomal RNA". It matches the Rfam family "Bacterial small subunit ribosomal RNA", at positions 29 to 507 of the family's 1533-position model. The record is from RNAcentral.
AGUGAACGCUGGCGGUAGGCCUAACACAUGCCAGUCGAACGGCAGCACAGUAAGAGCUUGCUCUUACGGGUGGCGAGUGGCGGACGGGUGAGGAAUACAUCGGAAUCUACUUUUUCGUGGGGGAUAACGUAGGGACACUUACGCUAAUACCGCAUACGACCUACGGGUGAAAGCAGGGGAUCUUCGGACCUUGCGCGAUUGAAUGAGCCGAUGUCGGAUUAGCUAGUUGGCGGGGUAAAGGCCCACCAAGGCGACGAUCCGUAGCUGGUCUGAGAGGAUGAUCAGCCACACUGGAACUGAGACACGGUCCAGACUCCUACGGGAGGCAGCAGUGGGGAAUAUUGGACAAUGGGCGAAAGCCUGAUCCAGCCAUACCGCGUGGGUGAAGAAGGCCUUCGGGUUGUAAAGCCCUUUUGUUGGGAAAGAAAAGCAGCAGGUUAAUACCUCGCUGUUCUGACGGUACCCAAAGAAUAAGCACCGGCUAACUUCGUG